RNAcentral lists this ribosomal RNA (497 nucleotides) under uncultured bacterium. RNAcentral describes it as "partial 16S ribosomal RNA". It matches the Rfam family "Bacterial small subunit ribosomal RNA", at positions 28 to 507 of the family's 1533-position model. The record is from RNAcentral.
GAUGAACGCUGGCGGCGCGCCUAAUACAUGCAAGUCGAGCGAACGGACGAGAAGCUUGCUUCUCUGAUGUUAGCGGCGGACGGGUGAGUAACACGUGGAUAACCUACCUAUAAGACUGGGAUAACUUCGGGAAACCGGAGCUAAUACCGGAUAAUAUUUUGAACCGCAUGGUUCAAAAGUGAAAGACGGUCUUGCUGUCACUUAUAGAUGGAUCCGCGCUGCAUUAGCUAGUUGGUAAGGUAACGGCUUACCAAGGCAACGAUGCAUAGCCGACCUGAGAGGGUGAUCGGCCACACUGGAACUGAGACACGGUCCAGACUCCUACGGGAGGCAGCAGUAGGGAAUCUUCCGCAAAGGGCGAAAGCCUGACGGAGCAACGCCGCGUGAGUGAUGAAGGUCUUCGGAUCGUAAAACUCUGUUAUUAGGGAAGAACAUAUGUGUAAGUAACUGUGCACAUCUUGACGGUACCUAAUCAGAAAGCCACGGCUAACUACGUG